Paramuricea clavata is the source of this 344-nucleotide non-coding RNA. NCBI's taxonomy places the organism in Eukaryota, Metazoa, Cnidaria, Anthozoa, Malacalcyonacea, Plexauridae. The record is from the annotation of a GenBank genome assembly.
CUUGACUAAUACCACUUUACAUGUUAUAUUUAGUUUCAUGUGUGUCUGGGCUGUCAUUUUCAACUUAAGGGGGCUCAGUUAGAUGGUUUUUUUUAAGAAACUACAAUAGUUACUUAUAUUUAAACACAAGACUGGUGUAAAAGUUGAAAUAAUGCUAGAAUAUUUCUAUUUUAAUUUGAAACAACAUUCAGGGUGCAUUCUACAUAGGCUGCCAAAGUUUCAUGUGAUUUGUUCAGGCAGUUUACUUGUUAUAAGGGGGUUUUCAGCUGUUGACUUGGCCAAUUCAGCUAACGUUUGUAGUUUUUUGUAUAUAUAUAGUAAGACAAGUUCUCCAACUGUAACUU